Syngnathus acus (greater pipefish) is the source of this 319-nucleotide long non-coding RNA. RefSeq lists it as uncharacterized. NCBI's taxonomy places the organism in Eukaryota, Metazoa, Chordata, Actinopteri, Syngnathiformes, Syngnathidae. The transcript has 2 exons. The record is from RefSeq and is a predicted model, not a curated record.
AGCAAAGAGCGUAGAGUAGCAAUAUUUGGCUCGGUUUGUACACCUGUUGCCAUUUCACUACUGCAUGAAGAAAGGUUGCCACUGUGCUUGGACGAGUGAGGUAUGUGGCGCUUGAAACACUAACAACAUGUUUUUUUUUUUAGUUUGAUGUUACUGCAUGUACAUUGUCAUCAAAUCAUUUGUCAUCUUAAUGGUGUUGCUAAAUGCUAAAAUGAUUAGAUUGCAAAUUGUCUUUACUUUCAAUAACAUCAAGAAAUCGAAAGCAUUUUUUGUUACGCAGGCCCUUUUUGAGAUAAAUUGAAUCAAAAUUGUACUUUUU